GAGACAGGGUACCCAGGCAAAAACAGUCCAGCCAAGUAAGAAUAGCUACUGUUUAUUCUAUUCAAAGAGGUGCCCCAUUAGAAGAGCUUGGUAUCCAGCUGCUUAAGUUAGGUACAGAACGCAGCAGCAGCAAGAGAGAGGAGGCAGAGCGGUAUGGAGGGUGCGCCUAAACGCACUAGAGGACCGUACCAUGACGGAGACCCGCCAAAGGGCGCCGUCCCUCCGCGCUGUGGAGCGCGACGGGUACAAGGAGAGAGCGAGAGUGGUAUUGCAGUGGCCGGGGGAGAGGGGAGGAAGGUGGGUCGCCGACGAGAAGAGGAGGAGUACCGACGGAGUGGACGCAACGGAGUGGAGAGCGCCACGGAGGAACCGAGUAGGCGACCCGCUGGAGGUAUUGGGAGAGCUGGGAGGAAGGGACGGGGGAACCGCACGUACUACCUGUGCUGACGAUCGCCUUCCGACGAGUCGGACGUAUACCGCGGGGGUUAGCAGGUGCACGAAGGGGAUCGCCUGGUGUAGUCGGUCGCAGUGCAUCUCCUGACCUCCUUUCCAGUAUGACCAAAACUCAAGAGAGGACACUUUACAGAAUCAACCUAGUUCUACCAAAAUCUGAAAAUCCUCCUUAAGUAUCCAUCCAAAUACAAAACCUACAUUUCCAUGUACAUAUACGAUAUACUAACAUCACUCGAACGACAAAACAAACCCUCAACUAACCAAGUGAGAAAAGGAAAGUACGUACACUAAGGAUACAAUAUCCGAACCCACGAGACAAAAAAUCUACCAAUCUACUUCCCCAAGGGAGAGGACCGCAACAAACCUACUCUUUCUCUAGAAAUAAACGUAAUAGUCCUCAGUAACUCGUUCUACUAAGUGUUCUUGCAUAUGAAACCCGACAGACAUUGUUCUUUGGUUCUUCUUUUCCGACUUCGAUCUACAAGGACAAACUCAAUAAACGUUAUAUACAUCUGUUGUCAAAGGUAGUCCUUGCCUAUAAAAACAUUACUCUAGUGACCCAAUGGGGAAAUAGUACAAAACGUAAUACAUGACUGUUUUAUAAGAAUGUACCCCAAACCGUAGUAGAUGACCGGAAUCAAAUCACAAUAA
RNAcentral lists this ribosomal RNA (1104 nucleotides) under Triticum aestivum (bread wheat). Its description in RNAcentral is "partial small subunit ribosomal RNA". Lineage: Eukaryota; Viridiplantae; Streptophyta; Magnoliopsida; Poales; Poaceae. The record is from RNAcentral.